CAGUAGCCGCGGGAAUACGGAGGGGGCUAGCGUUGUUCGGAAUUACUGGGCGUAAAGCGCACGUAGGCGGCUUGGUAAGUUAGAGGUGAAAGCCCAGGGCUCAACCCUGGAAUUGCCUUUAAGACUGCCGAGCUAGUAGGUGAGAGAGGUGAGUGGAAUUCCGAGUGUAGAGGUGAAAUUCGUAGAUAUUCGGAAGAACACCAGUGGCGAAGGCGGCUCACUGGCUCAUUCUAGACGCUGAGGUGCGAAAGCGUGGGGAGCAAACAGGAUUAGAUACCCCCGUAGUCCCUGUCUCUUAUAC
This 301-nucleotide ribosomal RNA is filed under the name uncultured bacterium. RNAcentral's name for it is "partial 16S ribosomal RNA". It matches the Rfam family "Bacterial small subunit ribosomal RNA", at positions 509 to 807 of the family's 1533-position model. The record is from RNAcentral.